GUGAAUCAUCGAAUUUUUGAACGCAAAUUGCACUCUCUUCGGUGAGUAUGCCUGUUUCAGGGUCAGUAUUAAUAAAAAUCGGAGUGUUGCUUCUUUGUGACGCUCCGGCGUUUGGGUCAUCUUAAUAUCCUUUAGUUUUUAAGUGUCUUAACAUUGACUUUUUUUGCGCAUUUUAGAUGUACAUAAAUUCUUUUUUUUAUUCGUCUGUCUUAAUGCUCCAACUCCUAUUAGCUUCGACCAUAUCGUUUGGUCUCGUGUCUAUAAAUUUUUCAUGAUU
Molecule: unclassified non-coding RNA, 277 nt
Filed under: Rhizophagus sp. (in: glomeromycetes)
Lineage: Eukaryota; Fungi; Glomeromycota; Glomeromycetes; Glomerales; Glomeraceae
Description: partial contains 5.8S ribosomal RNA and internal transcribed spacer 2
Rfam family: 5.8S ribosomal RNA (bases 1-65)
Source: RNAcentral